UGCCAAAGACCUAAACCUAUGUAGAAAAAAAAAUUUGCAGCAAAUUGAAAAAAAAUCACAUGCUAUUAAAGGAAUUCCAUAAUUAAUUUGGGAUGGAAAAUAUGGUCAAAACAUAGUCUGGGAAGAAAACCUAAAUUACAAACUUAACAAAUAGUAGUUGUAGAAAGUGGAAGAUGGAAUUUUCAAAAUAGAUGUUAAAAUGAAAACAAAAAAAUAUGUAUGAAGCUCAGCUAAAUUGCCAUGUAAAUGUGAAAAAUCUAUAGGGCAGUAAAUUUAACUUGCAUAUUAGUUUUGCACAUUAAUAAAGAAAGUAGCAACACCUAAACAGAAGGCAAACAUGUUGUUGAUUGAGAGAAAAGUGCACAGAGGUAGCUACUCUUCUCCAUCAUGAGAUAACAUGUGUU
This 404-nucleotide long non-coding RNA is filed under the name Glycine max (soybean). RNAcentral describes it as "long non-coding RNA (GMAX_LNC001813)". The record is from RNAcentral. Lineage: Eukaryota; Viridiplantae; Streptophyta; Magnoliopsida; Fabales; Fabaceae.